Molecule: long non-coding RNA, 988 nt
Filed under: Setaria viridis
Lineage: Eukaryota; Viridiplantae; Streptophyta; Magnoliopsida; Poales; Poaceae
Description: long non-coding RNA (SVIR_LNC010157)
Source: RNAcentral
CUUGCCGACCUCCUUACGGAGGGUGAUGACCUCCUCCUCAGAGAGUUCCUUGGUGAUCUUGUUGUCGAAAUUGAGGUCCAAAAGGAUCUGACGAGAGCGUGACCGCCCAAUGCCAUGGAUGUACUGCAGUGAGUAUUCCACCCUCUUGUGGUUUGGGAUCUCAACACCACCAAUACGGAUGCACUCAAUCCGCAGGCUGCCGUGACCGAUCCCUCCCUUCUGCCAGAUCCCCAACAAACAGAAGAAUGAAAAACUAUUAAAGAAUCGCCAAUGUGAGCCUAGGUAUGAAGGGUCAUCAGAAUGAUAAAAACAAAUAACUCAUAUCAUCACAUCAGCACUGACAUUCCAAUUACAAGAUCAACACAUUGCUGUACAAUGAAAUACUAGCAAGUAGCAUUAUUAUUGACAAUGUGAUUGGGGCAGGGGAUUCAUCGUAUACCUAAAUCAACAUAGACAACAAUUCCUAUCAUUGGGGUUCGAAUUCCCAAGCUACAGAAGACAAUCCUUGCAAAAUACCGGACAUGACCAUGCAAUUGCACACAUAAGUGACAUAUGCAGAAUUACGGACUAAUGCCACACCAUACUACCCCUAGCUCAUCUGUCCCUUUUGCUCCAAGUACUAGGUCAAAGUCUCAUAGAAACGCAAGCGCACGGACACGAACAAACACAAGCUCGCACGGCAUGGUAUGCACAAGCAAACGGUCGUGACGGUGAGGGCAGGACGAGCGGUCGCGACGGGGAGGGAAGGACGGGGGUGGCGGGAGAAGACGGGAGCACUAACCUUGGGAGAGGGGAAGGAGACGGAGGAGCAGCGGCCCCGGGUGGAGAGGGGAAGGGAGGAGGGUGCGAUGGGGACGGAGACCAUGGAGAGGGUCGCCAUUUUCGCUCUCCUGGAGCCGCGAGGUGAGGUGCGUGCGUGCUGUGUCACGGAUAGAAACCCCCAGGCCCGGGGGGAAGACGAUAAGGUUGUGCAGGCUACUCCUGACGC